CGGGACACAACACUGGACCGGAACCCACGGAUGCUAGGUAUGCUAAUGCUACUUUGGCAGCUGUUAGCUAGCUAACGUCUUAGCCGAUAAGUAAACUGUACCGUUAGCUUAACCGUAUCCAGCGUCUCGACAAUUUUUUAAAAUAUAGGUAUAUAUGCUACCUUAAACCAUGUAAACUAUGGCCACCCGUGAGAGCUGGCAGCUUGGUGCCGUUAACAACAUUUGUCAGCUAAAACUGAACGAUCGAACGUCCCUCAUCGUCGAUCAAAAACACAGACCAUCGUCAAGCUAAAAGCUGUCCCGGUCGCUGCUCCACCCCCUCUGCCAAUCCAGGGAGAGCUACAGACCACCACAUGCCUUCCUCCAAUACAUGUGGAGUCACCAGCCGCUUCUUUUCACCUGACAGUGAGGAGUUUCACCAGGGGGACGUAGUGCGUGGGAAGAUCAUGCUAUUCCCCCCAGGUCCCCCACCGCCCUGAACAGGCACCCCGACUGAGCACUAGUGCAGCAACCAGGACACAUACCCACAUCCGGCUUCCCACCCGCAGACACGACCAAUUGUGUCUGUAGGGACACCUGACCAAGCCGGAGGUAACAUGGGGAUUCGAACCGGCAGUCCCCGUGUUGGUAGGCAACGGAAUAGACCGCCAUGCCACCCGGACGCCCCCAGCUCAGAAAGUUAAGAUGGAGGAGCAUGUUCCUUGUCCUCCUCUGGUGAACUUUCCUCCGUAUCUGUUACUGUGAGAUUGUCAUCCUUCUCAGCCCCAGUGAAGUCGCUUUUUUCCUCAACAGCGGGAGGGAUCACCACUUC
Lampris incognitus (smalleye Pacific opah) is the source of this 811-nucleotide long non-coding RNA. RefSeq lists it as uncharacterized. Lineage: Eukaryota; Metazoa; Chordata; Actinopteri; Lampriformes; Lampridae. The transcript has 3 exons. The record is from RefSeq and is a predicted model, not a curated record.